Molecule: ribosomal RNA, 792 nt
Filed under: Triticum aestivum (bread wheat)
Lineage: Eukaryota; Viridiplantae; Streptophyta; Magnoliopsida; Poales; Poaceae
Description: partial small subunit ribosomal RNA
Source: RNAcentral
AUGCAAGCAUUGGAGACAUUGAAAGAGGUCAGGUUCUCUAGGCAACCAUUUGGCUUCCUGUCCGGCCUUGGCCAACUAAAGAAUUUGAGGAAUCUGGUUCUUUUCUUUGGUUUCGAAGAGUAUUCUGACACUAAGGGUACAAAUAUGGUUGAAGGGGAGUGCAUCAAAUCUAUCAUCUCUUCCCUGUGUAAACUAGGCACCCAGGACCUUCGCUCUCUAACUAUUUGGGAUUGGAGCAGCCUCUUACAAGAACCUUUGUGCCCACUUACCCUCGAUAAACUUAUUAACUUCUCUUUAGGCACCCCACAGGUUCCGAAAUGGGUGAGCUCCCUCAGAAACCUCCAGGAGAUACACCUUCUAGUGGAUGAAGUCAAGCAGGAUGAUCUCUGCAUCCUUGGGGCCUUACCCACUCUGCUCAUUCUGCAUCUGGAGGAAGAAACAAUGUCAAACAAAAAAUUCAGAAUCAGUGGUGAAGUUGGGUUCCAAUUCUUGAGGAUUUUUAUUUACGAGGCAAAUCCUCACCUGGUAGAUCUGAUGUUUGCAGCAGGAUCCAUGCCCAAGCUAGAAAAACUCGUGCUUUCUUUCCGCAUAGUAGCUGGCUCUCUGGACUUUGGAAUCAAGAACCUCCCCUGCCUCGAUACGGUCAAAUGUAGUACAAAUGACGACGAUGGCAUUUUUAGAGCCAUACAGACUGCCAUGGAGAGAGCAGCCAGCACACACCCCAAUCACCCUAGUUUACUCUUUUGGAAAGAUGUCAGAUUUUAUUUGUCUGGAAGGCCCAGCUUUGAUUAA